CGCCGCCACCCUCGCCAGCGCCGUCCCCCGCCUGCGGAGGUAGCAGCGUCGGCGGUCCCUCAGGCUCUAACUUGACCGCCACCUCCGUCUGCUCCUCCGCCAGCGCCGCCAUCUUGCGGCUGAGCCACCUCGCGCCGUCAAGCGUGAUUGCGUUUUCGCCACAUGGAGGGCGGGGAGGAGCGUUUUACGACAGCUUGGGAAGGCAAUAUACGGCAGUAGGAGGGGCGAGAAAGAAGGCGAAAAAGAAUGGGAACUAGAGCACUUUCAAAAGUGAGUGACAGAAAGGCAGGAAGUGGGAGGUGGCGACCGCCUAUAGCAUUUGCGUGUAAUAAUUACCGUUUAUUUCAGACCAGCUAUUUUUAGGCACUGUGAGAGAUAUUUUACAUUUUAUGACCUCCUUUAAUUCAACAAUCUUAUAAGGGAGUGUUAGCCUCACUUUACAGGUGACUGAACCGAGACCCAAAGAGGUUAAAAUAACUUGCCAAAGUCAGGCAAGAAGAAAGUGAGUGUCAAGAUUCCAAUCCAGGUCUCUUAUAAACGUAGCCAGAAGGAAGCUUCUGAGAUACUGGUAAUGUUUUAUAUUUUGAUCUGGGUGGUGGUGACUUUUUUUUUUCAACUUUUACUUUUGUAAAAAUUAAGCUACACGCUUUAAGUUUUGUGAACUUUACAGCAUGUAUGUUAUAUAUAGUUGUUAUUUUAAAUUUUGGUUUAGUUUAUUUAUUUAUUUUGAGGGAAAGAGCGAGAGAGAGACAGCAAGCAGGAGAGGUGUAGAGAGUGAGGGAGAGAAAGAAUCCCAAGCAAGCUGUCUGCACUGUCAGCGCAGAGCCUGACGCCGGGCUCAGAUUCACGAACUGUGAGAUCAUGACCUAAGCUGAAAUCAAGAGUUGAUGCUUAGUGGACUGAGCCACCGAGGUGCCCCUAAAAACAAUUUUCUUAACGUUUAUUUUUGAAAGACAGACACAGAAUUCCAAGCCCGCUCCAGGCUCUGAGCUGUCAGCACAGAGCCCAACAAAGGCUUGAGCCCAUGAACCUGAUGAGAUCAUGACCUGAGCCAAAGUCAGAAGUUUAACCGACAGAGCCACCCAGGCGCCCCUAUAUAUUUCAAUAAAAAUGGAGCUAUAAGCCACCUUGGCUAAUAUGUAUACCCAGAGGGAGAGGCAGAAGCCCAGCAUUGGAAAAAGCUGGGAAAGGGAGUGGGCUUUAAUUUUCUGCUCUGCUGUGUACUCCCUGAAAAUGCAACUACUGUGGAGCCAAGAAGAAGAGGAUAUGCAGUGAAAACAGUAGUGGGGACGCCCCCUUGCUCUUGGGACCAGAGUUCUCCUCUCAGAGUCUUAGGUGCCUGCCUGGCCUCUACUGUCAUCCCACAUCCAUUGCCACGAUGGACCUGCCUAUGGACUGGUGUGAGAGAGAAUAGAAAAAUAAAAAGGAAAGUUUGGAUUUCCCUCAUUCUUUGUGACCUACAGUGGUCCCCUUUCCUGCCCCUGAAACCAUGAUAGAGGAUUUCUCUCAGAGUUCUAUCUUACACACCUGGUGCACAGUUCUGAAUUUCAGCUUGUGUUUGAGUCCAGGCCAGGAGAUACCACAGGAAAAACAAAAUGGGAAAUGCAGUGAUGGUUCAGUUGUAGUUAGAGUUCUGGUUGCCUUCCCCAAUCUGCCUCUCACGAAUUGCAUUCUAGAGUCAAUAGAUAGCUGUUCCAUGCAUUCUGUCCAAAGCUUUUACCUGUAUUCAGUGAGAAAUACAGAGUGAAGCACUUAAUUAUCACAACCCAGUAAUCUUAGCUACAUUGGUUGAUACGUAUUUUAGUUUAUAUCUUGUCUUAUCAUUAGAGACUUUGAACAUCUUUUCAUAUUUUGGCACUGUUUUUAUAUUACUUUGGGGGAUUAAGUUUUAUCUUUGUUCCCUAAUUUUUAAGUUUUUUUCAUCUGUUUAGCAUAUUAGGUCCUUAUCUGAGAUAUGUGUUGCAAAUACUUUCUCCCAGUUUGGCCAUUGUCUUUCAUACUGUUUAUAUUUUGGGGACCAUGCAGAAGUAUUUUUUAUGAUGUCAAACAUGUCAACUUAUUUAAUUGCAUCUGGAUUUUGAAUCAUAAAUAGACUUUCACCUAAGUUAAGGAAAGAUUCACCCAUGUUUUCCCCUAGAGCUUAUACAUUUUCCAAUGAGCUCUCUCGUGGGUUUGGGACUGAAUCUUGAAUAUGAUGUGAGGUAUGAGUCUUUUUCAAAAGUGUUUGAGAAAUCCCACAACUGGAGCACCUGGCUGCCUCAGUCAGUAGAGUAUGUGACUCUUGAUCUCGGGGUUGAGAGUUUGAGCCCAUCUUGGGUGUAGAGAUUACUUAAAAAUAAGAAAACCUUUCUAAAAAAUCCCACAAUCUUCUCAAGUUUGGCAAUUCACUAAAAGUAUUCAUAAGACUCAAUUGCAGGUUAUUCUCAAGGCUAAAGCAUAUUAUAGGUAAGGAUGCAGAGCAAAAGCAGCAGGAAGAUGUUCAUUGGCAGAGUCCAGAGAGGCCAAACACAGGAUUUUGCAUCUUUUCCAUCUAGGCCCACACAGACAUGCUUUCUCUCUACCAUCAAAUUACAGAGACAAACAUGGGGCACCUGGAUGGCUCAGUCCAACUUCGGCUCAGGUCAUGAUCUUGUGGUUUGUGACCUCGAGCCCCCGCAUUGGGAUCUGUGCUGACAGUUCAGAGCCUGGAGCCUGCUUCAGAAUCUGUGACUCCCUCUCUCUCUGCCCCUCCCCCCUUCAUGCUCUGCCUUUCUCUGUCUCUCAAAACAUAAAGAAAUGUAAAAAAAAAACUUUUAAAAUUUUUCACAUGCCUAUAACCCCUCAGUGAUUUCUCACCUCAUUUAUAAUAAUAUGCAAAUAGUUUCCCUUGAUUCAAAUCUCCUGCUUACUUGAAGCCUAUGUCUCCAACUUAUCUCCCAUUCAUUUGCCGCACACUUUGCUUAGGCAACUCUUCCCCUCCACCUCCAUUUUCUUACGGUUGACUCCUAUUAUACCUUCUCCACAGGUCUAUCGACGGGUGUGGUAGUUCACACUUAAUGCGAGGAUAUUAAUUGUUCUACGGUUGGGGUCAGCAAACUAUAGCCCACUGUCUUUCUUUAGAAAUAAACUUUUAUUGGCACAAAAUCAGAGUUAUUUGUUUAUAUAUUAUCUAUGGCUGUUUCUGUGCUACAGCAACAGAGUUGAGUAGCUACAACAGAGGCUACUCAACUGGCCCAUAAAGCCAAACAUAUUUACUAUAUAGAACUUUACAGUUGCGGAGCCUGGGUGGCUCAGUUGUUUAAGUGUCUGACUCUUGAUUUGUGCUUAGGUCAUGAUCCCAGGGUUGUGGGAUCAAGCCCCACAUCGGGCUCCAUGCUGAGCAUGGAGCCUCCUGAGAUUCUCUCUCUCCCUCUGUCCCUUUCCCCUACUUUUGCUCUCUCUCUAAAACAAACAAACAAAGUUAAAUAAUUAAAUAAAUUAAAAAUAAAUUUAAAGAACUUAAAGGGUGCCUGGGUGGCUCCGUUGGUUGAGUGCCAACUUCAGCUCAGGUCAUGAUCUCUCAGUUCUUGAGUUGGAGCCCUGGGUUGGACUCUGUGCUGACAGUUCAGAGCCUGGAACCUGCUUCGGAUCCUAUGUCUCCCUCUCUCUCUGCUCCUCUCCCACUCGGUUGCUUGGAAGACUUAUACAAGAUAUGUAAAAGUGUUCAUUUUCAACUGUUGGCUAAAGGACUCUCUACCUCUGUGGACCCAAACUGAUCUUAAGGAGAUUGUUGCUCUGUUUCAGUAUCUUCCAGUGGUUUUCCAUAGGCUGAGUCCUUUUCUUUCCUCAGUGGCCCUCCUGAUAAUAGUCUCAGCCAAGAAGAAUGGGUUGCCCUAUUGUGCAGGUCUAAAUUGGUCUAAAUUGGUCUAUUGGUCUAAAUUAAGCUAAACCAACAUUUAGGACUUAUCCAUAUAUCCAUACCCCUACCCCAAGUGACAAAAUUUUGCCUUAUAUACUUUAAAAGAUUUGGUUCUCAGAACUAUCAUUGGAGACAUUUCGUUAGCACACACACACACAUACACACACACACACACACACACACACAAACUCUUUAAUUAUUAUUUUAUUUUUUAAGGGUAGAAAAGGGCUAUCUAACAUUCUUUAAUACAUGAUAAUGAUGUGCACCAGACAUGUAUCUGUGGGUUCAUGAAAACAUGUCAGAAAAAAACUGUGCUUAAUCUUACUUAGUCUUUCUUUCUUGGGUUCAGUGUCAUUUUACAUGAAGGCUUAUUAUUAUUAUUAUUAUUAUUCAGGAAUUAUUUCUAUUGUACAAUUUUUAUGACCUCUUUUUUUGUCUUCCAAGUCUUUAAACAUAAUUUUGAAAAGAAAAAAAGAAUGUAUCAUUUUCAUAUUUGCUACUGUACCCUCACUGUUUUUAGCUUUUACACUUAAGUCCAUGAUCCAUUUGUGUGUAUGUAUUUUAAGUAGGCUUCACAUCCAGCACAGAGCCCAACACAGGGCUUGAACUCACAAUCCUGAAAUCAGGACCUGAGAUGAUGGAGCACCUGGGUGGCUCAGUUGGUUAAGUGUCCCGAUCUGGAAUUUGGUUCAGGUCAUGAUCUCACUUUUUGUGAGUUCAAGCCCCACGUCUGAGCACAGAGCUCAUUCUCUCUCUCUCUCUCUCUCUCUCUCUCUCUCUCUCUCUCUCUCAAAAUAAAUAAAUAGGGCACCUGGGUGGCUCAGUCAGCUGGACAUCCAACUUUGGCUUAGGUCAUUAUCUUGCAGUUCGUGAGUUCAAGCCCUCAUCAGACUCUCUGCUCUCAGCGCAGAGCGCACUUUGGAUCCUCUGUCUCCCUCUCUCUCUGCCUCUCCCCCGCUGGCUCUCUCUCUCAAAAGUAAACAUUAAAAAUUUUAAAAUAAAUAAAUAAACUUUAAAAAGUGAGAUCAAGGGGCGCCUGGAUGGCUCAGUCAGUUAAGCAUCCGACUUUGGCUCAGGUCACAAUCUCGUGGUCCAUGAGUUUGAGCCCCGUAUGGAGGUCUGUGCUGACAGAUCAAAGCCUGGAGCCUGCUUCAGAUUCUGUGUCUUCCUCUCUCUCUGCUCCCUCCCUGCUCAUGCUCUGGCUCUCUCUGGCUCUCAAAAAUAAAUAAACAUUAAAAAAA
Long non-coding RNA from Neofelis nebulosa (Clouded leopard), 5118 nucleotides. RefSeq lists it as uncharacterized. The record is from RefSeq and is a predicted model, not a curated record. NCBI's taxonomy places the organism in Eukaryota, Metazoa, Chordata, Mammalia, Carnivora, Felidae. The transcript has 3 exons.